AUCCCCGUUUCUUUUUUCCUUUUCCAGAUGCUUUGCGGUUUCGAGUCUGGAUACCAUCCUUCCGCAUGGUCAGUGGUCGGUUCACCUGCCAAGAGGGAGGCCAUGGGUGUUUCCUAACUCCACAUCUUGCCUCUAUGUCUCCUCCAGGGAUGCCCUCUCCACUCCACUUCUUAAGAAGAGGGAACUGGUUCAAGGACUGGGGAGUGCGCCCCUGGUGUGGCACAGGUCCUUGUGGUGUGUGUAUAGUUGUCCCAUCUUCUACAUUGGGAGUAGAUGCAGAGAAACGAAGAUGUUCGUCCAAGGCCCUGGGUUCUUGUCUCAGCUCUGACUGAUUUGCUGCAUGAUUCCUGGGCAGGCCACCCUCUGAGCCUCAGCUUGUUUGCCUGAAAAAUGGGUAUAAUCAUAGAAUCCACCUCAAACGUUCUUCAGAGGCCACUCAGCACAGGGCCUGCCUGCAUGCCAUAAAUGAAGCCUUCCCUGACUGGUUCCCUCCCUCCGGGCCUCUUCUGGAGCUCCAGAGCUUGGUCCAAGCCCAUGGCAUUUGGUCUAUUCUUGUCUCUUCCUGUCUCUUCCAGAAUGUGGAGUUCACCAGGGCUGGGAUGGAGCCUGGCUCCCCUCGGUGUCAAUAGCACCCGGAAAAGCUUCAACCAAAGUCUGCUAAGGAGUCAAACAUUUGCCUUAGGACCAAACUAUUUUGGUUUUUAGGAGAAAGUAUAAAGGAUACUAUAACAAGCAUUCACCUUUGGCAAACAUUAAUAUUUUUCCCUAUUUACUUCAGAUCCUUUUUAAAAGAAAUAUGGUAUUACAGAUACGGCUGAAGUCCUUGAACCAAUUUCCUUUCAUUUCCCUCUCUCCUUCCACUACCUUGAGUUUGGUGUUUAUCUUCCUUGUAUUUUUAUUCCAUUACUACAUAUGUACAUACCCAUAAACAACAAAUGAUACUUGGGGGUUUGGGCCUGUUUUUGAACUUUGUGUAAAUGGAAUCAUACAGUAUGUGCUUCUUUUGCUCAGCAUAAUAUCUGACAUUCAUCCACGUUGUUGUGUAGCUCAUUCCUUUUUUAUUGAAAUAUAAUUCACAUACCACAAAAUUCACCCUUUUAAAGUGUACAUUUUGGUGGUUAGUACCUUCACAAGGUUGUAGAACUGUCACUACUUUCUAAUUCCAGAACAUUGUCAUCACCCCAUAAAGAAGCCCUUUGCCCAUUUAGCAGCCGUUCCCCUUUCUAUUUCCCCCUCCCCACAGCCCCUGGCAACCACUAAUCUACUUUAUGUCUCUAUGGAUGUGCCUGUUCUGGGCAUUUCAUAUAAAUGGAAUUAUACAACAUGUGGGCUUUUGUGACUGGCUUCUUUUACUUUACAUAAAGUUUUCAAGGUUCAUUCAUGCUGUAGUGUGGAUCAGUACUUCAUUCCUUUUUAGGGCUGAAUAACUUUCCAUUAUAUGAAAACGCUACAUUGUGCUAUCCAUUCAUCCAAUUAAUGAACAGUUUUGGCUAUCAUGAAUGAUAUGAUAUGAACAUUCAUGUAAAAAUUUUUUACAUAGACAUAUGUUUUCAGUUCUCUUGGGUGUGUAUCUAGAAAUGGAAUUUCAGGGUCCUGUGGUAAUCCUCUGUUUAGCUUUUUGAGGAAAUGCAAAAGUGUUCUCCAUAGCGGCUGUAUGAAGGUUCCAAUUAUACACAUCCUCUCCAACA
Molecule: long non-coding RNA, 1688 nt
Organism: Hippopotamus amphibius kiboko
Lineage: Eukaryota; Metazoa; Chordata; Mammalia; Artiodactyla; Hippopotamidae
Exons: 3
Source: RefSeq, a predicted model, not a curated record